This is a long non-coding RNA of Diceros bicornis minor, 1286 nucleotides long. RefSeq lists it as uncharacterized. NCBI's taxonomy places the organism in Eukaryota, Metazoa, Chordata, Mammalia, Perissodactyla, Rhinocerotidae. The transcript has 6 exons. The record is from RefSeq and is a predicted model, not a curated record.
UGCAGGGUUUGCUUAAGCUGUAACAUACUGCCCUGAGGAGGAGCAAAGACACCUCGAUACCGCUGCGUCCACUAGAACAACCUGGAGAAUAGCCUGGAAUUCCUCAUAGCAUGGAGACUGGGUUCCAGGAAGACAAUCCCAGUGUACAAAUGCUUAUCAACCCUCGGCUCGCAUCAUGGCUGCUGACGCGGGGCCAAAGCCAGUCUCAUGUCCGAGCUCAAAAUUAAUAUGGGAGAGAACUCCACAGGCCCCAGUACCGGGAGUGGACUCCUUGUGAACCACCGGUGUAAAGUCUAACACAGAAAAGACUUGAGAAAGUUCUUUGCACCAAACAGGCUGGUAGCUCAUGAUCACGUCUUGUGUCCUGAGGUGUGCAUCUGCUUCACAGAAUCUAUGAAUCCACUCAAGUUAUAUGCAAAGGCUGCGUGAAUAGACAUUUUUUUCGGAUGCAGCUUACAAAGAGAAGUCUGUGGUUCUUCCUUCCAUAUCCCAUCCCUCCGGCUGUAUGCAUAAGGAGGCAAUACCAGGCUGGCUGGGUUGGAGACAAUCAAUGGUGACCUUGAAGACUGCUGAGCUGCUGAGAACAUGAGUCCCUGAAUUAUUGUGUGGAUGAAAGUUGCCCCGCCAACACAUUCCCCUGUCCGGAUCAGCGUCCUCCUGUUCUAUGUCCUUUGGAUUUGCACAAGCACAGAGUGUAUGAUGUUUGCGGCAACAAGGCAGGGACAAUUUAAUGGCAUUUCCACCAGAUUGUGUGAAGACACUCCAACUGCUCUUGGCUCCUUCCCAGUUGCAUUGGCCUCCUUGCCCUCCCACAGGUGGGCUUUCAUACCCAGGGCAGAGCUGGAACACGGCCAUGACUGCUGCAGAAGAGGUCUUUCGUGGACAGACUGGUCAGACGGCACUGGAGCAUUUGUAAUGGGAGGGUUGUUUGUCUUUCCUUCAUCUUUAAGAAGGUCAGAAAAGACCCAGCUCGCUAUGUCCGGGUAAAGAGAAAUGCAAAGAUGAAACUUACCUUACAUCUCUAUACUCCUCCCUUCCCAAUGUUCACCUCGGUAUAUAAAUGGAGUCCCUAACUUUCACUCCUUAAUCCCAACACCAGGUGAUGUUCUUCCGUCUCUAGGGAACGUUUCCUUUCCUUACUUUUCUCAGAUUUACUUCCACAAAAAUCAUCCUCUCAUUCUAUAAAUGGUGCCUUUUUCUUCAUUGUUAUUAUUGCCCUUAUUCUUCAUCUCUAUCUUUGAGAAUAUUCUUUUUUCUCUCUAUAAAAAUAACAACAAAUAUCCUGA